Molecule: long non-coding RNA, 340 nt
Filed under: Phoenix dactylifera (date palm)
Lineage: Eukaryota; Viridiplantae; Streptophyta; Magnoliopsida; Arecales; Arecaceae
Description: long non-coding RNA (PDAC_LNC018515)
Source: RNAcentral
CCUUCAUCUUCUUUUCUUUUAAUUCAUACGCUGAACAAUUGAAAGGAGGUAGCCGAGAGGGAUUUACCUUGAUUCCGAAGGAGAUUGCAGUAUCCCGUGCUCCGGUGCCUCCAUUCCAACACCUCCUCUGCCGGUUCACAGGUUCUUGAGAUUUUUGAAGGGAGAACUAGUAGGUUUUUAAGUGGUUUAGGGGGGGGGUGCGAGGUGUCACGCCCAGCUUCCUCCUCAUGAAAGGCUUAACAGCUGGGUCUUCCACAGCUUCCCAGCUGGCCCUACCCUAGUCACAUUCAUCCUCAGGCUAUGAGAUAGCAGCCAUCAAAUGGCUGCCAACAAUGGGCCC